AUAUGCGGCUUCCCCUGCUGCUGCUGCGGUAGCACUGUGGAAACCAGUUUUUUUUCCCUUUCUUGCCUUGUUCGGACCAAAGCUUGAAUUUCUUCGCGACCCUGAUGAUUUGUCAAACCCCUUGCUGUCCAUCCAUGAACAUCUGGCAUAUCGACAUCAGCUCCUUGAUCUAAAAGGAACUUAACUAUUUCUGUGUUUCCUUCAGAUAUUGCUUUAUGAAGUGCUAUAGUUCCACUGCUUGUGGGCAGUGUCACAUCUCCUCCAUAAUUAACAAUUUCCUUGAGCAAAUCCAAGUUAUUUUGCUC
Molecule: unclassified non-coding RNA, 305 nt
Filed under: Hevea brasiliensis (rubber tree)
Lineage: Eukaryota; Viridiplantae; Streptophyta; Magnoliopsida; Malpighiales; Euphorbiaceae
Source: RNAcentral